This 397-nucleotide ribosomal RNA is filed under the name uncultured bacterium. Its description in RNAcentral is "partial 16S ribosomal RNA". It matches the Rfam family "Bacterial small subunit ribosomal RNA", at positions 523 to 918 of the family's 1533-position model. The record is from RNAcentral.
AUACGUAGGGGGCGAGCGUUGUCCGGAAUGACUGGGCGUAAAGCGCGCGCAGGCGGCCCGGUAAGUCGGGAGUGAAAGUCCUGCGUUCAAGGUGGGAAUUGCUUUGGAUACUGCAGGGCUAGAGUGCAGGAGAGGUUAUCGGAAUUCCCGGUGUAGCGGUGAAAUGCGUAGAGAUCGGGAGGAACACCAGUGGCGAAGGCGCGUAUCUCGGCUACAACUGACGCUCCGGCGCGAAAAAGUGGGGAUCAAACAGGAUUUGAGACCCUCGUAUUCCCCGCUGUAAACGAGGAGUGCUAGGUGUAAGAGGUAUCCAGCCCAUUCGUGCCGGAGUCAACACAAUAAGCAUUCCGCCUGGGGACUACGGUCGCAAGGCUGAAACUCAAAGGAAUUGACGGGG